Molecule: non-coding RNA, 22 nt
Filed under: Arabidopsis thaliana (thale cress)
Lineage: Eukaryota; Viridiplantae; Streptophyta; Magnoliopsida; Brassicales; Brassicaceae
Source: RNAcentral
GACGCCUCGUGACCCGCCUCCA